GGGGCUUAACCCCGGGUCUGCAUUCGAUACGGGCAGACUAGAGUGUGGUAGGGGAGAUCGGAAUUCCUGGUGUAGCGGUGAAAUGCGCAGAUAUCAGGAGGAACACCGGUGGCGAAGGCGGAUCUCUGGGCCAUUACAGACGCUGAGGAGCGAAAGCGUGGGGAGCGAACAGGAUUACAUACCCUGGUAGUCCACGCCGUAAACGGUGGGAACUAGGUGUUGG
Molecule: ribosomal RNA, 223 nt
Filed under: Streptomyces scabiei
Lineage: Bacteria; Bacillati; Actinomycetota; Actinomycetes; Kitasatosporales; Streptomycetaceae
Description: partial 16S ribosomal RNA
Rfam family: Bacterial small subunit ribosomal RNA
Source: RNAcentral